RNAcentral lists this unclassified non-coding RNA (209 nucleotides) under Hevea brasiliensis (rubber tree). The record is from RNAcentral. Lineage: Eukaryota; Viridiplantae; Streptophyta; Magnoliopsida; Malpighiales; Euphorbiaceae.
GGCAUGGUGGGCUCUGAGGAGGACUCUGGUACUUCUGGGGCUGCGGCGGUGCAGCUCUCUGGCAGUCGGAAAAUGUUCUGGCGCUCGGCUUCAUGGUCUGCAUCACGUUCCUCACUUCACCAUCCUGAAGUGAACAGAGAAGGUGGAGACCCCAAUGGGAAUCUUGGUGAUAGUAAUGGACCAAGCCGAAUUUUCCCUGCUCCAUUAAC